Haemorhous mexicanus (house finch) is the source of this 3220-nucleotide long non-coding RNA. RefSeq lists it as uncharacterized. NCBI's taxonomy places the organism in Eukaryota, Metazoa, Chordata, Aves, Passeriformes, Fringillidae. The record is from RefSeq and is a predicted model, not a curated record. The transcript is spliced from 3 exons.
CGGGCCCGAGGCCGCGGGGCGGGGGCAGCUCCGGCCCGGUCCCGCCGGGAGAGCGCGGGCCCCGCUCCGCCAGCGGGAGCGACGCCACCCGCACAACCGGAGGGGACGGAGCUGGCAGAGAGAUGACAUUCCUGCCUGGAACAGAUACAGCUGCAGUGUGAAUGGAGAGCUAUCCUCACAUGGCUGAGAGCACGCAAUGCUGAUGGGCGAGUUAAGUGUCCUCAGCCACCCCUUGUCUCCUGCAGUAAAUUCACCUCGUGGGUGCAGGCUCCAGGAAUACGAAGCUGCUGCUCCUGUUUCUCACAGCUGUGCUGCUGUCACUGUGCUGCUACAGUUGUGAGUGCUAGAACACGUGCCUUAAACAGCUAGAAAACUCCUGCAGCAAGGGAAACUGCCAUUUUCUCUCAGAGGACCUAAGGUCAGUCAGGAGCCUCCCACUCCAAAAGCCCUGAGAAGCUCCAGGAAGCUGACACCAGUGAAGCACUGAGGACCAGAAGAGUCUGUGGGUAACCUGCUGGAAGCCAGGAACUAUCUGUGGUGUCGUACCCCAAAUCUACCCAUAACAGUGGUCUGUCAGUGCUAGUAACAUCUCAGCACCCAGAGAGCCCACUGCUCUUGUCAGACCUGGAUGGAUGAAGUGGAAGGCAAGUUUGAGGAAUAAGUAUUGCAUUAUUAUAUUGAAUAAAUAGUAGGCAGCCGUUUUUCUUGCAGAUUAAGUAGGAUCUAAAUUACUUAACACCCAUGGAAUCUCUUUUUUCUUCUCCUUUUAGUGUACUCUCCUCCUCAAUCUUUUUUUAUAUAAUCUCUCUUUUAUUAUAUGUAAUACUGGUAAAUUCAGCAGCUAGAUUUACUUGCUGAUUGCCAGAAACUCAACUGCCACUGGUAGUUGGGAUCAUACCAGAAUCUCUGCAGGGAGAGCAGCAGGGGACUCUGCUGCUCUGAAAGGUCAGGGUACCUUAUCAAGACCUAGGUCUUACAGCAUCUGUGUAGGGUCACUAGAGGUUGAUUAUCCUUCUUUUUUUGUACCAUGGAACACAUUAGGCUGGAAUGACUUGUCUAAAAUCUUAAAACAUGGCAGUAACAGAGCUGGAAAUAAUCCCCAGAGGCAGGUGCUAUUUGUAACAUAUUUUCUGCAAAUAUUACUUUAUUUGGACAUGGUUUGGUCCAAAUUUUGCAAAUUUCAAAAAAUAAAAUAAGAAUUUCUCAUUACCAAACUUUUGGUGUCCACAUUUGAUUUUAAAUGCAAGGAUGUCUGUCAGUCUGAUGCUACUACUCAUCACUUUCUUACAUCCACCUUACAUGUAGUUUUUAAAUUUUCCUAGCUAUAACUCUACUGAUUCUAAAUUGUUGUAACUCACAUUCUGAAGAAAUAGGUCCAAUAAAAGCAAGUAACAAGAAGAUGUAAGAAAAAUGUCUAAAGCAUGGUGGGAACCAUUACCAUUAAAUUUAUACCUUAUUUAGUGCACCUCAUUCUAAUUCCUUUGUAUAUAGUGAUACAAGUUGAAAAUCCCAUACAUUUCCUAAGACUGAGACAAUCACUAAGAUUUUAAGAUGCUUGAAGAAACUAGCAAAACUAUUCCAGUCUUCAGUCCAGAACUUAUCUUUUGUACUUCUACUUACACUUGAUGGCCUAAAACUUAAUCUGCCUUAUUCAUCAUCUUCAUCCCCUAUCCUUAGAAACAGCUUAGCCAGAACAAAUAGUGAAUGUUCUACAAAAAUAGGUUUAGACAUUAAAGUCAUCUGUCCUGGCUUUUCCUGUGCAUCCUGGAGUUGCAGUACUGAUACCGUACAAAACACAACUCUAUUGUCAUAGAGGUAAUAAAUAAUACUGUGUGUUAGACUUGUGGGUACAAAGUGAGGGUUUAUGCUGUCCUCUAGCAAAUCAGAGAAUGCUAAAAUUUUUAAUCACAAAAGAUGUCUCAUCUCGUUUCUCCAUACUUGAUCUUACAUCUGCAGUUAUGAAAGUAAAAAUUACUGCUGUGGUUUUACACAAAAAGAGAAAUUCUGCAAGAGCAAAUUUAAUGGCAUUUCGACCACUUUGUAGUCCUUAGAAUCUGCCACAUUUUCCUCACCACUCAAAUGAUUUUAAAUUAUAAGUAGUUUUGCAAAGCUGUUAGCAUUAUUUUCUCAGCUCACCCAAAGUUUCUGCAAGACUUAUUAUCUAUGAUGAAUCACAUCUUUUAUUCAUAUAGUUAUAAAUGCAUUAAAGCUGUCAGGUAUAAUUUGCUGCUUUUUCUCCUUUAGAUUCAGCAUGGUUUCUGAAAAUAAGCUAAUUUAAUCACUAGGGAAUCUAAGUUAUAAUCAAAUUUAUUAUAUUUACCAGACUUGAAUUUCAGAUGGGAUAACAUUAAAAAUGUGCUUGUAGAGGAAAGAACAGAAUUGCCGGUGGGCAUUGAAUUAGCAGCCUGAAAAAUAUCUAAAAAUAUUGUGAUCCAGGGUGUUAUGAUGAUGAGAGGAGGAAGAGGAGUUCUGUUUAUCUGUAGCUUUUACAUGUUGCAAACUGGAAUGAAGGUCAGAACCCCAGGCCAAAGCUUCAAUUUAGGGGAAAGAGUGUUUUCUUUUUAGAUUUUCCAGUGACUUAGGGUGUGCCUUUAAAACAUGGUCCUGCAACUCUGCCUACAAAUCUCUAAAUUUCUGUUAGAAAGGACAUGCUGUUUGUGUGCUUGUAUGAGCACUUGCCACUGUACAUGACGUACCAGAUGUAAUCCUGUGAAUUCUGCAUCCAUCACAUUUCUGCUGAAUUCUGGAUGAGAUUUGUGCUUGGAAGGCUUCUGGAUCAAGGUUUCAUGUCAGGAAGUGCUGAGUGAAAGGCCUGUUCAAAACCAAUCCAACAGAAACACGAAAAAUGAGGUCUUUUCUUGUAGCUCGUGUUAUUCUCCUCUGAGUCUUGGUCCCCCAGUCCUCUUAACCAAGUUUAUGGCACAGAUUGUGUUUUAUUUAUUGAUAUAUGUUAAGACAGCCUCUUAUUUUGGGAUUAUAUUAGUUGCAUUUGUAUUGUGGAGAUUUCUGAUUCCCAAAGGUGCUGCCUUUUGUCUUUGUCUAUGCAAUUUAAACUGAAGCAGAGUUUUUGUUUUUCCCAAGGACUUCUACAGACUCUUAGAUAUUUAAAAUCUGAAUUAUGUUUCUUUAUGGUUUGUUAUCUGUUAAAGACUGCUGGCUGUGCUAAAAUGGGCAAAAGAGUUAAACAAGAAUAAAAAAGAAGUGUUCCAGAGAACCAAUA